AACGUAGGAGACAAACGUUAUCCGGAGUUACUGGGCGUAAAGGGCGUGUAGGUGGUUUCGUAAGUCUGGCGUGAAAUUUCCCGGCUUAACCGGGAGUGGUCGUCGGAUACUGCGGGACUAGAGGACGGUAGAGGCGUGUGGAAUUCCGGGUGUAGUGGUGAAAUGCGUAGAGAUCCGGAGGAACACCAGUGGCGAAGGCGACACGCUGGGCCGUACCUGGCACUGAUGCGCGACAGCAUGGGGAGCAAACAGG
Molecule: ribosomal RNA, 253 nt
Filed under: uncultured bacterium
Lineage: Bacteria
Description: partial 16S ribosomal RNA
Rfam family: Bacterial small subunit ribosomal RNA
Source: RNAcentral